RNAcentral lists this ribosomal RNA (497 nucleotides) under uncultured bacterium. RNAcentral describes it as "partial 16S ribosomal RNA". It matches the Rfam family "Bacterial small subunit ribosomal RNA", at positions 28 to 507 of the family's 1533-position model. The record is from RNAcentral.
GAUGAACGCUGGCGGCGUGCCUAAUACAUGCCAGUCGAGCGAACGGACGAGAAGCUUGCUUCUCUGAUGUUAGCGGCGGACGGGUGAGUAACACGUGGAUAACCUACCUAUAAGACUGGGAUAACUUCGGGAAACCGUAGCUAAUACCGGAUAAUAUUUUGAACCGCAUGGUUCAAAAGUGAAAGACGGUCUUGCUGUCACUUAUAGAUGGAUCCGCGCUGCAUUAGCUAGUUGGUAAGGUAACGGCUUACCAAGGCAACGAUGCAUAGCCGACCUGAGAGGGUCAUCGGCCACACUGGAACUGAGACACGGUCCAGACUCCUACGGGAGGCAGCAGUAGGGAAUCUUCCGCAAUGGGCGAAAGCCUGACGGAGCAACGCCGCGUGAGUGAUGAAGGUCUUCGGAUCGUAAAACUCUGUUAUUAGGGAAGAACAUAUGUGUAAGUAACUGUGCACAUCUUGACGGUACCUAAUCAGAAAGCCACGGCUAACUACGUG